GUCCACGCCCUAAACGAUGUCAACUGGGUGUUGGGGGAGCGAUUCCUCAGUACCGUAGCUAACGCGUGAAGUUUACCGCCUGGGGAGUACGGCCGCAAGGUUAAAACUCAAAGGAAUUGACGGGGACCCGCACAAGCGGUGGAUGAUGUGUAUUAAUUCGAUGCAACGCGAACAACCUUACCUACCCUUGACAUGUCCGGAAGCCCGCUGAGAGGCGGGUGUGCCCGAAAGGGAAUCGGAACACAGGUGCUGCAUGGCUGUCGU
This 264-nucleotide ribosomal RNA is filed under the name uncultured bacterium. RNAcentral's name for it is "partial 16S ribosomal RNA". It matches the Rfam family "Bacterial small subunit ribosomal RNA", at positions 793 to 1055 of the family's 1533-position model. The record is from RNAcentral.